CCUACGGGGGGCAGCAGUGAGGAAUAUUGGUCAAUGGACGGAAGUCUGAACCAGCCAUGCAGCGUGCAGGAUGACGGCUCUAUGAGUCGUAAACCGCUUUUGUACGGGGAUAACACUGUCCACGUGUGGUGAUCUGCAGGUACUGUGCGAAUAAGGGCCGGCUAAUUCCGUGCCAGCAGCCGCGGUAAUACGGAAGACCCGAGCGUUAUCCGGAUUUAUUGGGCUUAAAGGGAGCGUAGGCGGGUGUUAAAGUCAGCGGUAAAAUCUCGCGGCUAAACCGCGAACCGCAGUUGAAACUGGUCGUCUUGAGAGCAGAUGAGGCAGGCGGAAUUCGUGGUGUAGCGGUGAAAGGCUUAGAGAUCACGAGGAACACCGAUUGCGAAGGCAGCCUGCCGGGGUGUGUCUGACGCUGAGGCUCGAAGGUGCGGGUAUCAAACAGGAUUAGAUACCCCAGUAGUC
Molecule: ribosomal RNA, 459 nt
Filed under: uncultured bacterium
Lineage: Bacteria
Description: partial 16S ribosomal RNA
Rfam family: Bacterial small subunit ribosomal RNA
Source: RNAcentral